Molecule: ribosomal RNA, 460 nt
Filed under: uncultured bacterium
Lineage: Bacteria
Description: partial 16S ribosomal RNA
Rfam family: Bacterial small subunit ribosomal RNA
Source: RNAcentral
CCUACGGGAGGCAGCAGUGAGGAAUAUUGGUCAAUGGACGAGAGUCUGAACCAGCCAAGUAGCGUGAAGGAUGACUGCCCUAUGGGUUGUAAACUUCUUUUAUAUGGGAAUAAAACGUUCCACGUGUGGGAUUUUGUAUGUACCAUAUGAAUAAGGAACGGCUAACUCCGUGCCAGCAGCCGCGGUAAUACGGAGGAUCCGAGCGUUAUCCGGAUUUAUUGGGUUUAAAGGGAGCGUAGGUGGAUUGUUAAGUCAGUUGUGAAAGUUUGCGGCUCAACCGUAAAAUUGCAGUUGAAACUGGCAGUCUUGAGUACAGUAGAGGUGGGCGGAAUUCGUGGUGUAGCGGUGAAAUGCUUAGAUAUCACGAAGAACUCCAAUUGCGAAGGCAGUUCACUGGACUGCAACUGACACUGAGGCUCGAAAGUGUGGGUAUCAAACAGGAUUAGAUACCCUUGUAGUC